This 774-nucleotide ribosomal RNA is filed under the name uncultured Neocallimastigales. RNAcentral's name for it is "partial large subunit ribosomal RNA". It matches the Rfam family "Eukaryotic large subunit ribosomal RNA", at positions 28 to 620 of the family's 3401-position model. Lineage: Eukaryota; Fungi; Neocallimastigomycota; Neocallimastigomycetes; Neocallimastigales. The record is from RNAcentral.
CUAUACAUGACUCUGCGCUAUCAAUAAGCGGAGGAAAAGAAACUAACAAGGAUUCUCUUAGUAACGGCGAGUGAAGCGGGAAGAGCUCAAAUUUGAAAUCUUCAAGGUUUUACCUUGACGAAUUGUAGUUUAAAGAAGUGUUUUCUGCUGAAGUUUUGGUAAAAGUUCUUUGGAAUAGGACAUCAUAGAGGGUGAGAAUCCCGUAUUUGACCAUUAUUUUCAGCUUUGUGAUACACUUUCAAAGAGUCGGAUUGUUUGGGAAUGCAGUCCAAAAUGGGUGGUAAAUUUCAUCUAAAGCUAAAUAUUGGCGAGAGACCGAUAGCGAACAAGUACCGUGAGGGAAAGAUGAAAAGAACUUUGAAAAGAGAGUUAAACAGUACGUGAAAUUGUCAAGAGGGAAGCGUUUGACACCAGUGUUGUUUUCUCGAAAAUCAAUUAAAAAUGGCUCGAUUUUGUAUUGCUUGAGACCUUAAAAGCUCACUGUACAUUUUUCGUGUCUUUUUUAACGCACUUUUCGUUUAACAAGUCAACAUCAGUUUCUUUUGUUGUAAAAGGGUCAUUGGAAGGUGGCUUUCUUUUCGGAGAAAGUGUUUAUAGCCUUUGGCCUCUGCAAUCGGAGAGACUGAGGUCUGCAGCGUAGACUCUUCGGGGUUAGAUACAUUUGUGCUAAGUUAUAGCUUUUUAUAGACAACUUGUUGACUAUAAUUAGUCUUGUAGCUUACUCGCUUAUGCUAUUUUACCUACGCUUAGGAUGUUGAAGAUGUAGCACAUCAU